GUUGGCUUUAUUCAUGAUUUUCCCUCCCAGAGGGAGAAUUAUCAUAAGGAAAAAAAUCCCUGUCCCAGAACAUGUCAGUUUGAAGGGGAAACUCACUUUGAAUCAGCCACUUUCAGGGCCUGCAGAUUCCUACCUGCAUUUACAAGGUAGCUGCUCUCGUCGUGCAAAUCGCUCCACUUCCUGUCAAAGACCUGGAGUCCUGCAGAUGAACACAAUGCCCUUUUCUGUGCCGAGUAAUUUGGCAGAACAAAAAUCCCUUCUGCUAUUUUCUUGAGGAGCAUCACAGUGUCCAUUAUGGAUCCUUCACGUAAACAUGGUGCACAAUUGCGCCGGCGUGCCUAACAAUGCGGACGGCUCUCUGCCAUCCGACCCCACGCUGCGCCACUUUGGAUGGAGCCUUUCAAAUAAUGCGAAGCAUGUCAAUCUUCUGUGGAGAAGUCAGAGGAAACCUGGGCAUGUAUUUGUCUUCGGGUCUUUAAAAUAUUAAUAUUUUAAAGUUAGAAAAGAACUACAUAAAAGAAGUCAGACUGAUUUUGAGCGAGAUCGUGUGAUGAAAUAUCCCUUCGCUUUUGCUCCAGUAGACAUGUCCACCUCAGAGAGAGGCUUCAUCACUCAAGGCCAACGAUCGAGGCCUGGGGCGGCGUGCGACUCCUCGCCGUCCAGGAACCGAACCGGCUCGGAGAUCAAUUUCAAAGGGUCUUCUGACGGAGUGCGAGCAGGCAGGCUGUGCUGCCAUCUUACAGGCUGUGCUGCCAACUUACAGACCGUGCUACCAUCUAAUAGGCUGUGCUGCCAUCAGACAGACUGCUGUGCCAUCGUACAGACUGCUGUGCCAUCAUACAGACUCCUGUGCCAUCAUACAGACUCCUGUGCCAUCAUACAGGCUGCUGUGCCAUCAUACAGGCUGCUGUGCCAUCAUACAGACUGCUGUGCCAUCAUACAGGCUGCUGUGCCAUCAUACAGACUGCUGUGCCAUCUUGUAAACUAACAAUAAACACCAGAAAACAGA
Brienomyrus brachyistius is the source of this 1009-nucleotide long non-coding RNA. RefSeq lists it as uncharacterized. NCBI's taxonomy places the organism in Eukaryota, Metazoa, Chordata, Actinopteri, Osteoglossiformes, Mormyridae. The record is from RefSeq and is a predicted model, not a curated record. The transcript is spliced from 2 exons.